This 399-nucleotide ribosomal RNA is filed under the name uncultured bacterium. RNAcentral describes it as "bacterial SSU rRNA". It matches the Rfam family "Bacterial small subunit ribosomal RNA", at positions 358 to 773 of the family's 1533-position model. The record is from RNAcentral.
GGAAUAUUGGACAAUGGGCGCAAGCCUGAUCCAGCCAUGCCGCGUGAGUGAUGAAGGCCUUAGGAUUGUAAAGCUCUUUUACCAGGGAAGAUAAUGACGGUACCUGGAGAAUAAGCCCCGGCUAACUUCGUGCCAGCAGCCGCGGUAAUACGAAGGGGGCUAGCGUUGCUCGGAAUCACUGGGCGUAAAGCGCACGUAGGUGGGUUUCUAAGUCAUGGGUGAAAUCCUGGAGCUCAACUCCAGAACUGCCGUUGAUACUGGGAAUCUUCGAGUCCGGGAGAGGUGGGUGGAACUGCGAGUGUAGAGGUGAAAUUCGUAGAUAUUCGCAAGAACACCAGUGGCGAAGGCGGCUCACUGGCCCGGUACUGACACUGAGGUGCGAAAGCGUGGGGAGCAAAC